Xenopus laevis (African clawed frog) is the source of this 1884-nucleotide long non-coding RNA. RefSeq lists it as uncharacterized. Lineage: Eukaryota; Metazoa; Chordata; Amphibia; Anura; Pipidae. The transcript is spliced from 8 exons. The record is from RefSeq and is a predicted model, not a curated record.
UGGAGGGGAGGGCUUGUCGUGCGAUUGCAUAAUAACCAGCUGCAUUUCUCAGCCUUCCUCUCGCCGACCCGUCCUCUACUCACAGUAGGAGAAGAAGAACAAUCUAGAUAAAUCAGAACAAAGUACAGAUGAAGAGGAAAUCACUGUUACUGACCAAAGGAAAGAACUUGCGAUUACCAUUUUAAUGACAUAAAUGUACAGCACCUUGUUCUUGGUGGCGAAAGCAGUUCAUCUUCUAAGAAACGUGCUUCCCAAUUUCAUGUGGCAUACAUUAUCAGACUCCUAAUUUAUUAAUAGAGAAUCAGAUAUACAAUAAUUAUGAGAAUAAGUAUUGCUUCACAUCCAAGAGGACUUCUGUUUGACAGCUGCUCGUGGUGUACUGAAAAUGGUUGUAAAUCACUGCAGGAAGAAAGAGACAAAUGCAAGCACUGACAUCUGCCAGUCAGAAGCUGAAGGAACCAGCAACACAGAUGGUGGAACUGUUCACAUUGACAUUGUUGUAACAUCCCUUAUAGCCUGCUCGGCACACUUCGAAAAUAUGGAAAUAGCUUUAAAUUGGAAAAAACUACUAUUGAGUCAUCCACAUUUGGAGACAGGGCCGUUUCAGGGCUUCUUGCCCCCCCCCCAGGAGGCCUUUCUGAUGACGCCCCCCCCCUGCACCCGGAGCAUACCAUUUCCAGUGUUCGAGCGGGUGCAUCUCUAGUGAGGAAAGCGCAAUUACUAUUAUAUACGUAGCAUUUGCUUUUUAACAAUUUUGCAAAGACAGAGAAGUUUGCUGACCACUGCAAGCAUAUAUUAGAUAUUCUUGAGACAGUGACCCCACAGAUAGAUAUUGACGGAGAAAGAAACAUAUGCAUCAUAAAACCAGGUGCUAAAUCCAGAAGAGCUGAUCCAUCUAUACAUGUAUGUAGUAGAAGCAUACAGCAACAAUAUGAAAUCUCCUAGAGCGCCACCCUGAUUUACCUAUGGACAAUCUGUGGACUAGCAAGCAGCUCCAAGAACACCUUGAAGGGAUAGGAGUUUGUCAUGCCUGGGUAGAGGUGAUGGUACCAGGAAUGAAGGAAGCCAUUAUAUAUACUAUGAUGAGCUCCACAGAAAUUGUCAGGAACAGGAAAAAACAUUUUGAUCUUUAUGGAGCAAAUUUUAUCUUUGAUGAAAAUUUUCACACUUGGCUGAUUGAGAUUAAUCUCAAACCUGAAUUAAAGCCGCCCGCAUCGGUAAUAACUGAACUAUGCAACCAAGUGCAAGAAGACACCCUACGUGUUGUCAUUCAUCGGAGAGAUGACCCUAGCUGUGAUACUGGAGCAUUUGAGCUCAUAUACAGUAUGAAAAGGUGAGUAGAAUAUGGCCAUUUUUGCCACCUACUGCCCUUAACCCAUUAGUGCUGUACAUAGUAGGAGCAACAACGAAUGUUAAUGUACCCAAAUCAAAAUGAGAAACUAUAAUUCCCUGUUAAGUUUAGAUUAAAAUAAAACCCUGCCCAAAAAAUUUAAAUUAAGCAACUUACUAAUAAUCACUAAUUAAAAAUAUUAAAGUUGUAUAUAAAUGUGAUGGUUUCAAAAAGUUUCCAAAAGCAAUACUUGUCUGUCCCUUUCACUGCUCAACAGUGCUCCUCAAGUGUAUGUUUCUAGGUACAAUUUUUAUGUUAAUAUAUUAAUAAAUAGCUUUACUAUCAUUUCCUCCCAUAUUAUGUCUAGAUCGUAGUUAAAAAGCCAAAUUAAAAGUGUUAAUAGAGGAACAAUCACGUAGGAGACUCUGCUCAUGUAAUCUCAUCAAUACCACUAUGCAUAGAUGCAAUAAUUCAGUUUGUAGAAGCAGCAAAUCUGCACCUUUCUGACUAUGGAUUCUACCUUUACUGUAUAUUAUGUAUAUAUGUAUAUAAAA